This 253-nucleotide ribosomal RNA is filed under the name uncultured bacterium. RNAcentral describes it as "partial 16S ribosomal RNA". It matches the Rfam family "Bacterial small subunit ribosomal RNA", at positions 524 to 776 of the family's 1533-position model. The record is from RNAcentral.
UACGAAGGGGGCUAGCGUUGUUCGGAAUCACUGGGCGUAAAGCGCACGUAGGCGGAUUUGUUAGUCAGGGGUGAAAUCCCGGGGCUCAACCUCGGAACUGCCUCUGAUACAGCAAAUCUCGAGUCCGGAAGAGGUGAGUGGAACUCCUAGUGUAGAGGUGAAAUUCGUAGAUAUUAGGAAGAACACCAGUGGCGAAGGCGGCUCACUGGUCCGGAACUGACGCUGAGGUGCGAAAGCGUGGGGAGCAAACAGG